This 481-nucleotide ribosomal RNA is filed under the name Colletotrichum sp. GZUCCZY0102. RNAcentral's name for it is "eukaryotic LSU rRNA". The stretch from base 136 to 289 matches the Rfam family "5.8S ribosomal RNA". The record is from RNAcentral. Lineage: Eukaryota; Fungi; Ascomycota; Sordariomycetes; Glomerellales; Glomerellaceae.
AUAACUGUUGCUUCGGCGGGUAGGGUCUCCGCGACCCUCCCGGCCUCCCGCCUCCGGGCGGGUCGGCGCCCGCCGGAGGAUAACCAAACUCUGAUUUAACGACGUUUCUUCUGAGUGGUACAAGCAAAUAAUCAAAACUUUUAACAACGGAUCUCUUGGUUCUGGCAUCGAUGAAGAACGCAGCGAAAUGCGAUAAGUAAUGUGAAUUGCAGAAUUCAGUGAAUCAUCGAAUCUUUGAACGCACAUUGCGCCCGCCAGCAUUCUGGCGGGCAUGCCUGUUCGAGCGUCAUUUCAACCCUCAAGCUCUGCUUGGUGUUGGGGCCCUACAGCUGAUGUAGGCCCUCAAAGGUAGUGGCGGACCCUCCCGGAGCCUCCUUUGCGUAGUAACUUUACGUCUCGCACUGGGAUCCGGAGGGACUCUUGCCGUAAAACCCCCCAAUUUUCCAAAGGUUGACCUCGGAUCAGGUAGGAAUACCCGCUG